CGCUAGCGACAGGCCUAACACAUGCAAGUCGAGGGGUAACAGAUAUAAAGCUUGCUUUAUAUGCUGACGACCGGCGCACGGGUGAGUAACACGUAUGCAACCUACCUUUUACAGGAGAAUAACCCAGAGAAAUUUGGACUAAUACUCCAUAAUAUUUUUGUAUCGCAUGAUAUAGAAAUUAAAGUUCCGGCGGUAAAAGAUGGGCAUGCGUCCUAUUAGUUAGUUGGUAAGGUAACGGCUUACCAAGGCUAUGAUAGGUAGGGGUUCUGAGAGGAUAAUCCCCCACAUUGGUACUGAGACACGGACCAAACUCCUACGGGAGGCAGCAGUGAGGAAUAUUGGUCAAUGGCCGCAAGGCUGAACCAGCCAUGUCGCGUGAAGGAUGACUGCCCUAUGGGUUGUAAACUUCUUUUGUAUGGGAAGAAAGGUAUCUACGUGUAGAUAUUUGCCGGUACCAUACGAAUAAGGAUCGGCUAACUCCGUGCCAGCAGCCGCGGUAAUACGGAGGAUCCAAGCGUUAUCCGGAUUUAUUGGGUUUAAAGGGUGUGUAGGUGGCUGUAUAAGUCAAUAGUGAAAUCUCGGAGCUCAACUCCGAACGUGCUA
RNAcentral lists this ribosomal RNA (603 nucleotides) under uncultured bacterium. RNAcentral describes it as "bacterial SSU rRNA". It matches the Rfam family "Bacterial small subunit ribosomal RNA", at positions 34 to 626 of the family's 1533-position model. The record is from RNAcentral.